AUUGAACGCUGGCGGCAGGCCUAACACAUGCAAGUCGAGCGGAUGAAGGGAGCUUGCUCCUGGAUUCAGCGGCGGACGGGUGAGUAAUGCCUAGGAAUCUGCCUGGUAGUGGGGGCUAACGUCCGGAAACGGGCGCUAAUACCGCAUACGUCCUGAGGGAGAAAGUGGGGGAUCUUCGGACCUCACGCUAUCAGAUGAGCCUAGGUCGGAUUAGCUAGUUGGUGGGGUAAAGGCCUACCAAGGCGACGAUCCGUAACUGGUCUGAGAGGAUGAUCAGUCACACUGGAACUGAGACACGGUCCAGACUCCUACGGGAGGCAGCAGUGGGGAAUAUUGCGCAAUGGGCGAAAGCCUGAUCCAGCCAUGCCGCGUGUGUGAAGAAGGUCUUCGGAUUGUAAAGCACUUUAAGUUGGGAGGAAGGGCAGUAAGUUAAUACCUUGCUGUUUUGACGUUACCAACAGAGUAAGCACCGGCUAACUUCGUG
Molecule: ribosomal RNA, 484 nt
Filed under: uncultured bacterium
Lineage: Bacteria
Description: partial 16S ribosomal RNA
Rfam family: Bacterial small subunit ribosomal RNA
Source: RNAcentral